UGGGCGUUAAGUUGCAGGGUAUAGACCCGAAACCCGGUGAUCUAGCCAUGGGCAGGUUGAAGGUUGGGUAACACUAACUGGAGGACCGAACCGACUAAUGUUGAAAAAUUAGCGGAUGACCUGUGGCUGGGGGUGAAAGGCCAAUCAAACCGGGAGAUAGCUGGUUCUCCCCGAAAGCUAUUUAGGUAGCGCCUCGUGAAUUCAUCUCCGGGGGUAGAGCACUGUUUCGGCUAGGGGGCCAUCCCGGCUUACCAACCCGAUGCAAACUGCGAAUACCGGAGAAUGUUAUCACGGGAGACACACGGCGGGUGCUAACGUCCGUCGUGAAGAGGGAAACAACCCAGACCGCCAGCUAAGGUCCCAAAGUCAUGGUUAAGUGGGAAACGAUGUGGGAAGGCCCAGACAGCCAGGAUGUUGGCUUAGAAGCAGCCAUCAUUUAAAGAAAGCGUAAUAGCUCACUGGUCGAGUCGGCCUGCGCGGAAGAUGUAACGGGGCUAAACCAUGCACCGAAGCUGCGGCAGCGACGCUGAUGCGUUGUUGGGUAGGGGAGCGUUCUGUAAGCCUGUGAAGGUGGCCUGUGAGGGUUGCUGGAGGUAUCAGAAGUGCGAAUGCUGACAUAAGUAACGAUAAAGCGGGUGAAAAGCCCGCUCGCCGGAAGACCAAGGGUUCCUGUCCAACGUUAAUCGGGGCAGGGUGAGUCGACCCCUAAGGCGAGGCCGAAAGGCGUAGUCGAUGGGAAACGGGUUAAUAUUCCCGUACUUGGUGUUACUGCGAAGGGGGGACGGAGAAGGCUAUGUUGGCCGGGCGACGGUUGUCCCGGUUUAAGCGUGUAGGUGUGUGUUCCAGGUAAAUCCGGUUCACUUUAACACUGAGGCGUGAUGACGAGGCACUACGGUGCUGAAGCAACAAAUGCCCUGCUUCCAGGAAAAGCCUCUAAGCAUCAGGUAACAUCAAAUCGUACCCCAAACCGACACAGGUGGUCAGGUAGAGAAUACCAAGGCGCUUGAGAGAACUCGGGUGAAGGAACUAGGCAAAAUGGUGCCGUAACUUCGGGAGAAGGCACGCUGACACGUAGGUGAAGUGAUUUACUCAUGGAGCUGAAGUCAGUCGAAGAUACCAGCUGGCUGCAACUGUUUAUUAAAAACACAGCACUGUGCAAACACGAAAGUGGACGUAUACGGUGUGACGCCUGCCCGGUGCCGGAAGGUUAAUUGAUGGGGUCAGCGCAAGCGAAGCUCCUGAUCGAAGCCCCGGUAAACGGCGGCCGUAACUAUAACGGUCCUAAGGUAGCGAAAUUCCUUGUCGGGUAAGUUCCGACCUGCACGAAUGGCGUAAUGAUGGCCAGGCUGUCUCCACCCGAGACUCAGUGAAAUUGAACUCGCUGUGAAGAUGCAGUGUACCCGCGGCAAGACGGAAAGACCCCGUGAACCUUUACUAUAGCUUGACACUGAACAUUGAGCCUUGAUGUGUAGGAUAGGUGGGAGGCUUUGAAGUGUGGACGCCAGUCUGCAUGGAGCCGGCCUUGAAAUACCACCCUUUAAUGUUU
Molecule: ribosomal RNA, 1546 nt
Filed under: Salmonella enterica
Lineage: Bacteria; Pseudomonadati; Pseudomonadota; Gammaproteobacteria; Enterobacterales; Enterobacteriaceae
Description: partial 23S ribosomal RNA
Rfam family: Bacterial large subunit ribosomal RNA
Source: RNAcentral